This 2838-nucleotide ribosomal RNA is filed under the name Pneumocystis sp. 'macacae'. Its description in RNAcentral is "large subunit ribosomal RNA". It matches the Rfam family "Bacterial large subunit ribosomal RNA". The record is from RNAcentral. Lineage: Eukaryota; Fungi; Ascomycota; Pneumocystomycetes; Pneumocystales; Pneumocystaceae.
AAUUAUUAUUAUUUAAUAUAAUAUAUAAUAUUUAUAUAUAUAUAAUAUAGUUAAUAAAGGGGUUAUUAAGGAUAACUAGCUAAUAUAUUUUAGGAGGUAUAUACCUAAUUCAUUAUUAUAUAAAUGUUAUAAUGUAUAUCCGAGAGGGAAACCUCAAUUUCAAUUACGAAGUGAAAUGAAACAUCUUAGUAACUUCAGGAAAAGAAAUCAACCGAGAUUUUAUGAGUAGUGGCGAGCGAAAGUAAAAUAGCCUAGUAAUUUAUAUUGCAUCUAAUAUAUAAUAAUAAUAAUAUAAUAUUAUAUAGUCUUCUAAUGAAGAUGUAACUCUGUUUUAAAAGUUGGAAUACUUUAUGUGUAUUAAAAGUACAUGGCCAGGGAUGGUGAAAGCCCAGAAUAUAGAGUAAAUAUAAAUUUAUAUUAAGUAGAAUGAGAGAUAACUUGUUUGAAUAAUAUUAAUAUAUAUAUAUAUUAUAGUAUUAAUUACAUAUGCUAUUAUUAAUAUAUAUAUUACAGGGGAACUAUCCUCUAAGGCUAAAUAUAAUAUAUUAAGCGAUAGUGAAGAGUACCGUGAGGGAAAGUUGAAAAGAAAUAUAAAGUGAAAUAGAUCUUGAAUUAAUAACCUUAUAAGCAGUCGGAGGUUAAAACUGACGACGUACCUUUUGCAUAAUGGGUUAGCAAGUUAAUAUGCAAUGCAAGUCGUAAGACCUAAAUAACUUGAUUCUGAAAAGGGAGUAAUAAGUAUUGUAUAUUAGACCCGAAAUCUAGUGAUCUUACUAUGAUCAGACGAUAAACAGGUCAAACUGGUGUACGUUGCAAAGUACUCAGAAGAAUUGUGGUAAGAAGUGAAAUACAAAUCGGACUAGGAUAUAGCUGGUUUUCUGCGAAAAUUGUUUUGGCAAAUUGUUUAUUUUUUUUUCAUUCAUUCAAAGAAUGAAUGUAUAAUAAUAAUAAUAGUGGGUAUAGCACUGAAUACUUUGGGGGAGUAUUAUUAUAUUUAUCUCGGGUAUUUAAUCUCAAAAUAACUAUUUAUUUAUAGGUAAAUAAUCAGACUAUUUGCGAUAAGGUAGAUAGUCAAAAGGGAAACAGCCCAGAACAGUUAUUAAAGCUCCAAAAUUAAUAUUUAGUGAAAUAAAAGUUGUUGGUAGUCUUUUACAGUCAAGAAGUGGGCUUGGAAACAGCCAUCUUUUAAAGAACACGUAAAAGUGCAAUGAUCUUAGAUUAUCUGCGCUGAAAAUAUUCGGAUCAAAAUAUUAUGCUGAAAUACUGUUAAUAUAUAAUAUAUAUAUAAUAUAUAUAUUAUUAUAUAUAGGUAGCAGAACAUUUAGUAGAUGUGUGAAGAAUAGUAUUUUAUUAUUUGGACAUAACUAAAGAGAGAAUGCUGACAUGAGUAACGUUAAAAUAGGUGAAAAUCCUAUUCGCCGUAAAUGGAAGGUUUUUAUAGUUCAGCUUAACUACUAUAAAUAAUAAUAUCGGUUUCUAACAGUAUCUCUAGUGAGUAAUGGAUGAGUUACAUAUAUGAAAGUCGUAAGAUUCAGGAAAAAAUAUAUGUGAAAGACCGUACUAAUACCGACACAGGUCCAUGGAUAUAAAUGUAUUAAGGCGAAUGAGAGAAUUAUUGCGAAGGAACUCGGCAAAAUUGUUUCGUAAUUUCGAGAAAAGAAGUGCCAUGCUAGUGGUGUCAGAAAUUAGGUUGUACAACUGUUUACUUAAAACACAGUACUUUGCAAAGAUCAGAAAUCUUAGUAUAAAGUAUGAAAUCUGCCCAAUGCUAAAUGAUAAACUUGUUUUUGUUUGUUUACAAAUCUUGUAAUGUUUAGUGAAUGGCGGCCUUAACUAUAAGGGUCCUAAGGUAGCGAAAUUCCUUGGCCGUUAAAUGCGGUCCCGCACGAAUGAUUUAAUGAUACAACAUCUGUCUCCGCAAUAAACUCAGUGAAAUUGGAAUAGCCGUGAAGAUACGGUUUAUAUAUAGUUAGACGGGAAGACCCUAUGCAGCUUAACUGUAAUUCUUUAUUGUUGGAUUGAAUAAUCUUCUGUAGAUUAUAAGGUUGUCGGUUAGACUUCAUGAAAAACCUUUGUUGAUUAUUUAAUUAACUUACUUGUUAAAGGACAGUGCAGAAUUGACAGUUUAUGUGGGGCGCAUAUCUCAAAAAAAGUAUCUGAGAUGUCCAAAGGCAGGGUGAAAUUGGAUGGUAACCAAUAAAUGUAAAUUGUAUAUCUAGAUUGUAUUAUUAAUAUAUAUAUAUCUAGGUAAUGUAGUAUUUAAUAAAGUAUAAUGGCAUAACUCCUGCUUAACAGUAAGACUGACAAGUCAAACUGACAUGUAAGUGGGGCAUAGUGACCCUCGUUUACAAUAUGGAAUGGAACGAGAUCAACGAAUAAAAGCUACGCUAGGGAUAACAGGGUUAUUUCGUGUGAGAGAUCACAUUGACCACGAAGUUUGCCACCUCGAUGUCGACUCAACCUAUCCUCCAGGAGUAGAAGAUUGGAAGGGUUCGGCUGUUCGCCGAUUAAAAGGUUACGUGAGUUGGGUUAAAAACGUUGUGAAACAGUUUGGUUCCUAUCUUCUAUAUAUAUAAGAAGUUAAUGAAGGUCUUGUUCUUUGUACGCAAGGAUCAGAAUUAUUUUAACCUCUGGUUUAUCUGUUGUUUAUAAAAGAUGCAUUGCAGAAACGCUACGUUGAUAAAGAAUAAAUAUUGAAAGCAUAUAAAAUAUGAAGUCUGCCUUCGGAAACUUCUGUCUCGUUGUAGAUUAUAACGUUGAUAGGCUUUAUCUGUAAGAAUAGUAAUAUUUUAAGGUAUAAAGUACUAAUUGAUUUAUACUAAAUUAUACUCUUAUUGA